UACGUAGGGUGCAAGCGUUAAUCGGAAUUACUGGGCGUAAAGCGUGCGCAGGCGGUUUUGUAAGUCUGUCGUGAAGUCCCCGGGCUCAACCUGGGAAUUGCGAUGGAGACUGCAAGGCUAGAAUCUGGCAGAGGGGGGUAGAAUUCCACGUGUAGCAGUGAAAUGCGUAGAGAUGUGGAGGAACACCGAUGGCGAAGGCAGCCCCCUGGGUCAAGAUUGACGCUCAUGCACGAAAGCGUGGGGAGCAAACAGG
Molecule: ribosomal RNA, 253 nt
Filed under: uncultured bacterium
Lineage: Bacteria
Description: partial 16S ribosomal RNA
Rfam family: Bacterial small subunit ribosomal RNA
Source: RNAcentral